Molecule: ribosomal RNA, 305 nt
Filed under: uncultured bacterium
Lineage: Bacteria
Description: bacterial SSU rRNA
Rfam family: Bacterial small subunit ribosomal RNA
Source: RNAcentral
UAUUCCUACGGGGCGCAGCAGUGAGGAAUAUUGGUCAAUGGACGAGAGUCUGAACCAGCCAAGUAGCGUGAAGGAUGACUGCCCUAUGGGUUGUAAACUUCUUUUAUAUGGGAAUAAAACGUUCCACGUGUGGGAUUUUGUAUAUACCAUAUGAAUAAGGAUCGGCUAACUCCGUGCCAGCAGCCGCGGUAAUACGGAGGAUCCGAGCGUUAUCCGGAUUUAUUGGGUUUAAAGGGAGCGUAGGUGGAUUGUUAAGUCAGUUGUGAAAGUUUGCGGCUCAACCGUAAAAUUGCAGUUGAAACUGG